This is a long non-coding RNA of Bos taurus (domestic cattle), 329 nucleotides long. The record is from Ensembl. NCBI's taxonomy places the organism in Eukaryota, Metazoa, Chordata, Mammalia, Artiodactyla, Bovidae.
GGAAAUGGAAGGAAAUAAAGAAGGAUGAAAGCAGAGGGGAAGUAAGGAGAGAGAAGGAGAGGGGCCGUGAGCAACCUCCCCACUUUGCCGUGGUCCCAGGAGGUCCUGGGGCUCAGAGGCCCCUAGCUGAGCAGCAUGCAGGAUCUUAGUUCCCUAACCAGGGAUCAAACCUAUGUCCCCUGCAUUGGGAACAAGGAGUCUUAACCACCAGACCGUCAGCUAUCAUUAACUCAUAGGAAAUCACCCUAGAGACCCCACAAUGAAAUUCCUAUCCUGGAACUCAAACACAUCAGGCUCUUCCCCGGGAUAAAGACCAGCAUCAUUCCCAC